This 242-nucleotide long non-coding RNA is filed under the name Prunus persica (peach). Its description in RNAcentral is "long non-coding RNA (PPER_LNC003458)". The record is from RNAcentral. Lineage: Eukaryota; Viridiplantae; Streptophyta; Magnoliopsida; Rosales; Rosaceae.
CCGCCUGUACCCUUCCGGACCAUGACCGAAUUUGCCAGCCAUACUGGGUACGAAACUUCCCUGAUGAAGCCGAUGGUUUGAAGUUUGUCAACUUCCUUGCGCAUGGCUUCGUACCGUUCGGCAUCAUACGAACGGCGCUUCUGCCUUACAGGCUUGAAGGCGGGGGAAACGCUGAGUUUAUGGCUGAUGAUCUCAGGGUCUAUGCCGGGCAUGUCUUCGUAGGACCAUGCGAACACUUCCGA